UCGUUAAACCUCUGCAUCCAG
Molecule: microRNA, 21 nt
Filed under: Vitis vinifera (wine grape)
Lineage: Eukaryota; Viridiplantae; Streptophyta; Magnoliopsida; Vitales; Vitaceae
Description: miRNA MIR162_1H-5
Source: RNAcentral